This 591-nucleotide long non-coding RNA is filed under the name Takifugu rubripes (torafugu). RNAcentral describes it as "lncRNA (ENSTRUG00000028530.1)". Lineage: Eukaryota; Metazoa; Chordata; Actinopteri; Tetraodontiformes; Tetraodontidae. The record is from RNAcentral.
GUGUCCACGAAGUUGGAAUCUGGUGAACGCCGUGGGGGGGUUCAAUCAAGGGCUUUUCCGCCCUUUAAGAAGUUACAAACUCCGACAUGUUUGUAGUCGCACAGCUGAACUGAGAGCCGCGGGUUUUGGGGGGGAUUCGAGCGCUCCGAAUGGUGCACGGUUACGGAAGAAAGAACGUCAUUCAUCAGUCUAGGCUGUGAUUGGUCAGAAACAGUUUCAGUCCUCUGCAACUUUACUGACGCAGGAACUAUUUGGCACAACACCCUGUCUGGUUUUUCCUGCUCGAUCGCCCCCACUCCGGCUCUCUCUCGCUCCAGGUUGGGUGCCGACGGCAGACUUUUUGGACCGAGGCGGUUUUUUCCUCCACUUCUGCCCCUUUUUUAGUCAAAGCGCACGAGAGCCGAACUCAGUAAGUUGCCAGCGACUCUGCUAGUCAUUUUUAGGUCAUUACCACCCCACCCACCCACCCCCCUCCUCCACACACACACACACACACACACACUCAAUCCCAUCUUACCUUAACUCUUUUUCAACGCAAUAUCCUUAGUUCUACUCAAGUUUCAUGAAGUUUCGUGCAGGAUUCAAAGUGCC